Molecule: ribosomal RNA, 366 nt
Filed under: uncultured bacterium
Lineage: Bacteria
Description: bacterial SSU rRNA
Rfam family: Bacterial small subunit ribosomal RNA
Source: RNAcentral
CGGGACGGGGGAAGGCGUUUUUCGAAAUCAUUGGGCGUAAAGCGCGCGUAGGCGGCCAUCUAAGUCUGGUGUGAAAGCCCGGAGCUCAAACACGGAAGUGCACUGGAUACUGGAUGGCUACUCGUAGAGAGAGGGAAGCGGAAUUCCUGGUGUAGGGGUGAAAUCCGUAGAUAUCAGGAGGAACAUCGGAGGCUUACGCGGCUUCCUGGCUCGUUUCUGACGCUGAGGCGCGAAAGCAUGGGGAGCAAACAGGAUUAGAUACCCUGGUAGUCCAUGCUGUAAACGAUGAAUACUAGACGUCGGAAUUCCUAAUAGUUUCGGUGUCGUCGCUAACGCAUUAAACAUUCCGCCUGGGGAUUUCGAUCG